RNAcentral lists this ribosomal RNA (253 nucleotides) under uncultured bacterium. RNAcentral's name for it is "partial 16S ribosomal RNA". It matches the Rfam family "Bacterial small subunit ribosomal RNA", at positions 524 to 776 of the family's 1533-position model. The record is from RNAcentral.
UACGUAGGGUGCGAGCGUUAAUCGGAAUUAUUGGGCGUAAAGCGUGCGCAGGCGGUUUUUUAAGCCAGAUGUGAAAUCCCCAAGCUUAACUUGGGAACUGCGUCCGAUACUGGAGGGCUUGAGUGCGGGAGAGGGAUGUGGAAUUCCAGGUGUAGCGGUGAAAUGCGUAGAUAUCUGGAGGAACACCGGUGGCGAAGGCGGCAUCCUGGACCGACACUGACGCUGAUGCGCGAAAGCCAGGGGAGCAAACGGG